AACGAACGCUGGCGGCAUGCCUAACACAUGCAAGUCGAACGGACGGUAGCAAUACCGUUAGUGGCGGACGGGUGAGUAACGCGUGGGAACCUGCCUCGAAGUUCGGAAUAACCGCGGGAAACUGCGGCUAAUACCGGAUGUGGCCUGAGGGUCAAAGGCGCAAGUCGCUUCGAGAGGGGCCCGCGUCCGAUUAGCUAGUUGGUGGGGUAACGGCCUACCAAGGCGACGAUCGGUAGCUGGUCUGAGAGGAUGAUCAGCCACACUGGGACUGAGACACGGCCCAGACUCCUACGGGAGGCAGCAGGUGGGGAAUAUUGGACAAGUGGGGGAAACCCUGAUCCAGCAAUGCCGCGUGGGU
This 358-nucleotide ribosomal RNA is filed under the name uncultured bacterium. Its description in RNAcentral is "bacterial SSU rRNA". It matches the Rfam family "Bacterial small subunit ribosomal RNA", at positions 29 to 406 of the family's 1533-position model. The record is from RNAcentral.